UGUCGUCAGCUCGUGUUGUGAAAUGUUGGGUUAAGUCCCGCAACGAGCGCAACCCUUAUCCUUUGUUGCCAGCGGUCCGGCCGGGAACUCAAAGGAGACUGCCAGUGAUAAACUGGAGGAAGGUGGGGAUGACGUCAAGUCAUCAUGGCCCUUACGACCAGGGCUACACACGUGCUACAAUGGCGCAUACAAAGAGAAGCGACCUCGCGAGAGCAAGCGGACCUCAUAAAGUGCGUCGUAGUCCGGAUUGGAGUCUGCAACUCGACUCCAUGAAGUCGGAAUCGCUAGUAAUCGUGGAUCAGAAUGCC
Molecule: ribosomal RNA, 308 nt
Filed under: Escherichia coli
Lineage: Bacteria; Pseudomonadati; Pseudomonadota; Gammaproteobacteria; Enterobacterales; Enterobacteriaceae
Description: bacterial SSU rRNA
Rfam family: Bacterial small subunit ribosomal RNA
Source: RNAcentral